This 1241-nucleotide ribosomal RNA is filed under the name Tetradesmus obliquus. RNAcentral's name for it is "partial small subunit ribosomal RNA". It matches the Rfam family "Eukaryotic small subunit ribosomal RNA". Lineage: Eukaryota; Viridiplantae; Chlorophyta; Chlorophyceae; Sphaeropleales; Scenedesmaceae. The record is from RNAcentral.
UACAAGUUAAUCCUUAACAGUCAUGAAGGCAGUCAGUACAGCAGCCCGUAAUGCAGGUUCAAUAGCGAUAUAAAGUGUGCAGUAAAAGGUUGUAGUGAGUCCGGAUUGGGUGAAGGGUCAGGCUAUAUGAGUAAUGCUUCGACCUGCUCCUCUGCUCGGGACGAGCUUAUUUGGUCUUCACAGUUCGGGACUAGGGAUCGUCGUAGGUGACAUUGAGUACAACAAUGAAUGUUUCAAAAGCAAGGCUACAGCUAGAAUACUUACGACAAAGCAAUAAACACAGUAUGGAAUUUCGCUUAUCUAUUUUGUUGGUUAGACCGGGAUGUAAUGUUUAGAGAGGGACUGUGGGGGCGUUUUUUAUUCAAUUUCUGAGAGGUGAAUUUCUUGGAUUUAAAAAGAGGAGAUAUUGUGAAAGCAUUUUCCAAGGAUUUUCUCUAAAACACAAAAAGAAAAAGGUGGGGGUCGAGAGAGGAGAAGAGACCGUAGUAGUGUCAACCCUAUAAAGAUGCCGGCUAGGGGGAGGGGAGGGUGUUUUUUAGUGACUCCGUCAGCACCUUAUGAGAAAUCAAAGUUUUUGGGUUCCGGGGGGAGUAUGGUCGCAAGGGUGAAACUUAAAGAAAUUGACGGAAGGGCACCACCAGGGGUGGAGCCUGCGGGUUAAUUUGACUCAACACGGGGAAACUUACCAGGUCCCGACAUAGUGAGGAUUGACAGAUUGAGAGCUCUUUUUUGAUUUUAUGGGUGGUGGUGCAUGGCCGUUUUUAGUUGGUGGGGUGCCUUGUCAGGUUGAUUCCGGUAACGAACGAGACCUCCGCCUGCUAAAUAGUUUCCGUAGAUUUUUGCAGUGGGCUGCAUUUUUAGGAGGGAUUUUGGGGGUUUAUCAAAAGAAAUAUGGGGCCAAUACCAGUUUUGGGAUCCCUUAAGAUGUUUUGGCCGCCCCCCCCGCUCCAUGGAGCCAUUCACAGACCUUUCCUUGUCCGAAGGGUUUGGGUAAUUUUUGAAAAUGGCUUCGGGAUGGGGAUGGAUUAUGCCAAUUAUUAUUUUUAAAGGAGGAAUCCUUAGUAAGGCCAGUUCUUCAGCUGGCGUGGAUUACGUCCCUCCCCUUUGUCCCCCCCCCCCGUCGCCCCUCCCGAUUGGUUGACUGGGAAAUGUUUCGGAUGGCCGUCAAGGGGGCAACACGUCAUUGGCCGAGAAGUCAUAAACCCUCCCACCUAGAGGAAGAGAAGUCGAACAAGACGUCA